This 6233-nucleotide long non-coding RNA is filed under the name Homo sapiens (human). Its description in RNAcentral is "HSALNT0319322". Lineage: Eukaryota; Metazoa; Chordata; Mammalia; Primates; Hominidae. The record is from RNAcentral.
GAUAAUGCCUUUUAAUCCUGACUACUGAAUCUUCAACAUCCACCCUACCCUUCUGCAAGUAGAGCACAAAUUCUACAAGACCAAGGACUAUGUUCAUGUCUUGUUCCCUGCACAGUGCUCGACACCUAAUAGGGACAUGAUAAAUAUUUAUGGAAUGAAUGAAUGAACUUAGUUAAUUCAAGACAUACUUCAAAGACCCUUUACAAAACCCAAUUGACACGGUUCAAGGACUAGGCAUGAAAGACAAAAAUUUUUUUUCACAGGAUGGAUGAGACUUGGCAGCAGUAUAUAUGGACAAAAAUCUGAGAAGUUUUAUUUUUCUCAAGCUUAAUGUGAGAAGAGGGCCAACUGUGCAAUUCAUCUGCUAAGUAAGCUAAUGCCAUCUCAGCCUAAAUUAAUAACUAAUAGAAGCAGUGUGUCCAGAGGAUAGGAAAUAAUGGUUCCCCUGCAGUUUUUACUGGUUAGACCACACCUAGAGGAAGGUUGUACAGGUCUGAGUGCACAUUUUAGGAAGAAAUACUGACAAAAUGAAUAGUCCAGAAACAACAUCUCAUAGGUGACAGCAGAAGGAAUUGGGAAGCAUGAGCACAUGCCUGGCAUUGCCAACCAGAGUAAGAGAGGUAUGUGGAGCAGUCCCACAUCCCAUCACCUUGGCCAACCUCAGCAGAGCCACCAAUUCAGCCAUCUCAGAUGCAUGAGCAAUGAACACUUGUUUUACACUCCUGAGGUUUUGUGAUUGUUGCCUAGUUCAAUUGCAAUAAUAGAUAAAUGACAAAAAGAGAAACAGUGGAAGAUCUAUUAAAUACAAGUGGAAGCAAAAUAGUUCCUUUUCCUUAGAAGAAGGGAAUGGAAAAACCGAUUCAAAUGGCUCUCAGGAAGAAAACUUUGGAUUCAGAAAAUUGUAGUUUUAUAAGGAUUGAAGCCAACCAUGAAAAGAACAGGCUUCAGUGAAUUUGAGCUUGGAAACCAACAAAGCUGGCCACCACACCACAGCUUCUCCUGAACCUGACUUGCUCUGGCCUAAUACUACUGAGCUUGAGAAUUCACUUAGGUCAAGGAUAUUAUCUGUUUUGUUUUUACGUCACUAUACAUUGAGAUAACAGUGCAGGAUCUGGUGCAUAGUAGGUAUGCAAUACAUAGUAGGUAAACCAAAAAUGAAUGGAGGAUGCCAAAACUGGCCUCCAGUCCCUGGAUCCAAGAGGGAAGAUGGCUGAAACUGGCUCAAGAAUCUUUCAUCAGAGGUCACCACCAGCGCACCAUGAAGUCUGAUCCACUGACACCAACAUCCCCUUGAAAUCAGGCUCCCUUCCUCCGUUCUUUCAUUGCUAUCAUUCAGAGUUACCACUUUCUUUUAAUCACCAUGAAGAGGGAUCCCACGUCCUUUACCAGGCCAUGAACAAAAGGAAGCAGGCUGGUUUUGGCCUGCAGGGUAUAGUUCCUUGACCUCGGCUUCAUCCAAACACUCUAAUUUCAUCUCGUAUUUGUAUCCUUGGAGUGCCCAAUGCCAGCAAUACAGCCUACCCCUGGAAGAUGCCCAGUAUUGACCAUUUGAAUUUGAUAAAAGAGAUCCAGAACUCAAAGAUCCUUGAUGCUUUUUAUCAAUUCCACUAAACGUCAAGGACAGGAAAUAAAAACAUUUUUCUCUUCCGACUCAAACACAAUACCCCUUUGUGAAGCUGCUAAAAAUCUAGAAAUGGCAAAUCUGGGAAAAUUUUCAGGUGAGCGAUAGGCAUCAAAAUAUUUCAUUUUUGCUAAAAAUAUCUCUUAAGUUUUUCUUAGCAUUCCAACUCACAUCACACUGAAUUUGAGUACAAAGAACAGAAUCUGUUUUACCCUUGUAUUGGCAGUGACUUUGAGGUUAUACAAAGGAGUCAAAGUAGCCUGUCCUAUGACACUGAAGUCCCUGUAGGCAUUUGCCAGUUCAGAGCAGUUCCUUUCAGAAUGGAAACAGGAAAGAUGGAAAAGGGAAGAGAGAUCAAUGCAAAAUUCUGUAUCUUCAUUACUUGGCAACUGGAGUUUCAAUCAAGGACCCAAGAGGUAACUUAGGCAAGUUGGGGAGUCCCUGAAAGCUAAACCCAUGACAGUGAAUCUUGUGUAGUCCUCAGCAGCUGCCCCAGCACAGAUAAAUGAGGCUUUCUAGGAAGCAUAAGCAUCCUAAUGGCAGUAAGGCUGAUCCAGUGUCCAGAGGGAAACGUGGUGGCAACAGAAGACACGUGUGGUCUGGGGUAGGCUUUGAUGUUGCAGCUCCACAGCAACAGAGACACAUGAGAAGAGAUCAAAAUAGAAGAACCACCCAGCCUUGCUUGGAGAGGAGGUGGAAUGGAAUGGAAUAACUAGGUAACUAGGUAAUAGAAAACCAGGUAACUAGGUAAUGGAAUAAUUAGGGAACCACUGGGCACCUGGAGGCUUCUGGGCUCUUCUCUACUCUGCAGGCUUCUCUCUGACACAUUAGAGGCCUCCCAGACUCAACUGCUCCCCUCGACAGGAGCAGAAAAUAGACGACAGCUACAUUUUCUUCAAGUCUUGCCAAGAAAAACCUUGCAGGGUUAAGAACACAAAAGCCUUCAAAUAUCUUGCUACUGAGGUUCUUUCUUAUAAGUUUCAGUGUAUACCCACACACAGAGAGUGAAGAAAAUUCACUUUGAUUCAAAGGGUUCAAGAAUGUUCACAGUCUUUCGAGGAGUCACUAUGUUUUUAAACUCUUUCAACAGCUCUAUUUGUUCUCAAAAGAGUCAUAGAUUUAUUUAAUAGCAGUUUAUCUUUCAGUUGGCCCAUUACAAGCCGGAGCAUAACACGUAAAGCAUCCAGCAUAAUCACAGGUUUGGAAUUGAGAAGGCUUGGUGGGGGUGGGGGGGUAUCUGAAAUAUAAAGACAAUAUAAAGGCAAAGAGUUUGUCAUGUUAUUUGCUGCAGGGAAGCAUGUCCAUAGGUGAAAAAGUUGAAUUUCACAUAAAAAUAUAGAAGUAAACAUCUGGAGAAGAAAGACUUUCAUGGCAGGUUUGUGAAUACGCCCCUAAAAAUCCAUCGCCCAUUUUAAAGAAACAACUAGGGUCUGUGGAGCAACAGGGUGAAACAAUCGUUCACUUAAGAUACAGUAACAUCUUUCUACCAAGUGAUAAAAACCUAUCACAAAAUAAAUACACACCACAUGUGCUCCAUAAAAGUAUAACACAGAGGCGCCUUUGUUUUUUUAACAGAAACCUGGCCAAGAUGUGAAGACCCAGACUGUGGCGCUAUGUUUGGGACUCAGAGGUCUGACACGGGAGCUGAGACUCAGACCAAAGAAUUAAGAUAGUAACAACAUGUUGUCAAUUAAUCAUGCUCAUAAGGUGGUCAAAAUGACCAUGAGGACACAUUUCAGUCUACCGGACAGUAUGCCAGCUUUCAUUCUUGUGCUCAAAGACAAAGAAGAAAGCUUUAAUUUGGUGCAAUAUGGGCCGAAAGUUUAGUUGUCAUAUAUAUUAAACUCAGCCUACAGUCUUACUUGAGUAAAUUUCAUGAAAAAUCCAAUUUUCUUAAAUGUAAGUUAUGUUAGGGAAAAAACACUAUCUCCACAGGAGCUCAGAGAUGUCCCUAACAAUACACUCAAACAUAUUUCAUGUAUUUUAUGUUUUUAUGUUUAAACUUAUAAAUGUAAAUUAAUAUAUUUCUAUUAAAAUUCAUAAAAUAUAUAUGUACAUUUAUAAUAUAAAUUAAAUACCUUCAGCUGAGUUAGACAUUCUGUGCCUUGAAGGACACCAGUUAUUUUAGGAACAAAUACUCUUUAUUGAGGAAGAAAGUGCUGGAUCCACCAAUGGAAUGAACACCCACAUCUCUUAGACAUAGUUCCAUGCGUUACCUUCUUCCCCACAAACCGCAUGUUUGUGCAAUUAGCUUUCAUCAAAUCAACAUAUUAGUCACCAAAAAACAUGCUGAUGAAAACAAAGACAGGCUAGUUGCUUAUUUCUUGAAAGUGAACAGUUCCUUUGGCCAUUAUAUAAGAUAAUCAGUUUUGCCAGCAUCGAAACAGAUAAUGCUUUAAAAAUAAUGUGAGGACAAUGUUACAAUUUUUUCAGUUCUUAUUUUCAAUUUAUUGGCGUUGACUCAUAUGAGCCCUAUAUAGCAAGUUGUUCUCUCUUACUGUAGAUACCUGCACUUACAUACAUAUAAGACCAUCCUCUGACUUCAGGAAAUACUGAGGUCAGGUUCCCUGGCAGUAGGGAAGCUGCUAUGAUGGGAUGGAUUUCUGGAAACAAUUGAAAUAUCAACGUGGAAUAAACUUUAUAAAUACUUAUCUUAAGGGAGUGUUGGCAGAAGCAAGGAAAAUGGGUCAACUUCAGGAAAUAGCACAGCCUAUUUAAAGGCAAAAAAAUCAAGAAACAAAAGGGAGUUCAGUUGCUGGUAAAUCAGUUUUCUCUUUCUAACAAGUUUAUUUAUAUGCAUUUUUCUCUUCUUCCUAUAAGGAAGGUAUUUUUUCCUUCCUUUAAGUUUUUACUGUUAAAUUCACACAUUCACAUUUUUUUAGUCCUUAAUUACCCUGACUGAGUAAUUUGAGAGCAGAAACCUCUGGCCAUCAGGAAAAAAAAAAAGAAAAGAAAGAAAGAGAGAAAAACACAUGUCCAAAAAUUCCCUAAGCUUUUCCAUAUUCCUAAAAGCAAAAUGUAACACUAGCAGUGUAAAUAAAAUCAAUACACUGAGAACUCCUAAGGCUGGUUCUCAAUGGAACCAGCCAUUCCAUUCUUGGAAUGAAAACCUGAAACGGAAACGAGGAAGAUGAAAUGAGAUUCUACCUAAAAAGACUCCAACAGAUUGAGGGCUAGUGUGAAAAUCCCAGGAUGUGUAAUGAGGGGAGGGGAGUAAGCUCUAUGGUCAGAGCUCCCAUCCAGCCCAGAGUGGCCCAGCAGAAGUCAGGCAAACACAGACGCAGUCCACAUCGCUGCUCUACCACAAGCAUGGCUGAGUUCGGCUUUUCAGAUGUCGGACCUGGGGUGGGCCCUAGGAGGGGCUCAGAAACCAGAGCGACUUUUCAAGUUGUGUCCUUUAUGGUAUUUGCAGGGAAAGGGCCAACAAUAGCCAAGGGGCUGUUUACCAAAGUCAUUCUCCAGCACCUCCCACAGAAACGCUUGUGGAAAUCACUGCCAAAGCUUACAUGGGAAUCAAACAGAAGGAACUGAGCACAGCCAUGUAAAACAUGCCCCAGUCAUUUCGUAAGCUCUGUUUCUUCACAGAUGGCUGCUGUGGAAGAAAUGACUGCUUACAGAAAGCAGAGAUCCAAAAAUUAAUCCAGCCACUGGGAUGAAAGCAGGAUGAAAAAUGAUCCUGUUCUAUAAUUCACAUUGGUGAUUUACCAGGUCUGGGCUAUAAGACAUCUAGGGAUAAAACUGCUACUCAAAAGCAGAUCUGGCAAAGGUGAGGAAACGGUGUGAAGGGCAGGUACUGCUGAAGAUCUCUAGAGUCAAAAAAGGAUUCACCAAAUUAAAAUAGAAUGUUUCACAGACCAGUAAAGCCAGAUGGGAGUUGGUAGCUCAUACAUAUCCUUGUAUUUCCAAGAGAUGGGAGACUCCAGACUCUGAAAGGGACCAAACACAAGCUCACCUGCUGCGGCAGUACCCAGAGCUGAAAAGAGAGGAUGCCAAAGGAAUCCAGCCUUCCCGAAUCUACACUCUCAAGGCUGGGCUUUGGGACUCUAAGGGUCUAAUAAGCUAUGGCUCUUAUUUUAUAUCAUUACAACAACUGCUUUGGUUCCUUCAUUCUUUCACUACUUACCUGUGCUUCUUUACAUUUCACAGGUUGAUGAUACAUUACUGCUUUGGAUUUCCCUUCAGUUUCAUGGUUCAAUCCAAUGCCCACGUCUACAUUUCUUUCACUGCCUUUAUACUGCUGUACAGUUAGACUUCAUCUGCUACUCCACACACACACAAAUCUCUCCCUACUUCCUCACUCCUCAUUUCCUGUUGGGAGCUAAGUUUAAAGCUUCAUCCUUCUAGAUCUACUCAACAUUCCUUUUUAAAAGGUAGAGAACAAGGAACGUAGCAGCUGUGUUCGCUGAGCCAUUGAAUUCACACUGCCCAGCAGCCCUUGAAAGUCAACUGCAGCGUCCAUCAGGGCAAGGACUGACAGUUUGUUUCAACACUGAAUAUGGUUAGUACCUGGCAAGGAGCAGGAGUUCAAUAACUCUUGGCAAUAAUUCGUCAUCAUUUUCCCCCUGAAAUCCAUUUUAUUAUUCUUUUUUUUUCUUUUCAGGCUAGAGUGCAG